Molecule: ribosomal RNA, 376 nt
Filed under: uncultured bacterium
Lineage: Bacteria
Description: bacterial SSU rRNA
Rfam family: Bacterial small subunit ribosomal RNA
Source: RNAcentral
GACGAACGCUGGCGGCGUGCUUAACACAUGCAAGUCGAGCGGUAAGGCCCUUUCGGGGGUACGACGAGCGGCGAACGGGUGAGUAACACGUGGGUGACCUGCCCUCAGCUCUGGGAUAAGCCUGGGAAACCGGGUCUAAUACCGGAUAUGACUCCAUGACGCAUGUUGUGGGGUGGAAAGCCUUGUGCGGCUGAGGAUGGGCCCGCGGCCUAUCAGCUUGUUGGUGGGGUGAUGGCCUACCAAGGCGACGACGGGUAGCCGGCCUGAGAGGGCGACCGGCCACACUGGGACUGAGACACGGCCCAGACUCCUACGGGAGGCAGCAGGUGGGGAAUCUUGCGCAAUGGGCGAAAGCCUGACGCAGCGACGCCGCGUG